AUGUACGUGGUACGGAUCUGAAGGUAAAGGACUUACUCUUCGGAGUGAGAGCGUACACAGGUGCUGCAUGGCUGUCGUCAGCUCGUGUCGUGAGAUGUGGGUUAAGUCCCGCAACGAGCGCAACCCUGCAUUCAGUUGCCAUCGGUAAGGCCGGGCACUCUGGAUGGACUGCCGGCGACAAGCCGGAGGAAGGUGGGGACGACGUCAAGUCAUCAUGGCCCUUAUGUCCAGGGCGACACACGUGCUACAAUGGCCGGCACAACGGGAAGCGAAGGGGCGACCCCGAGCGGAUCCCACAAAAGCCGGUCUCAGUUCGGAUUGCAGUCUGCAACUCGACUGCAUGAAGUUGGAAUCGCUAGUAAUCGUGGAUCAGCCAAGCCGCGGUGAAUACGUUCCCGGGCCUU
This 404-nucleotide ribosomal RNA is filed under the name uncultured Thermovirga sp. Its description in RNAcentral is "bacterial SSU rRNA". It matches the Rfam family "Bacterial small subunit ribosomal RNA", at positions 980 to 1382 of the family's 1533-position model. The record is from RNAcentral. Lineage: Bacteria; Thermotogati; Synergistota; Synergistia; Synergistales; Thermovirgaceae.